UGUGAGGAACAUGAAGCUCUGAGGAUGCAGGAACAGAGACCAGACUCUCCUGGACCCAGCUGUGUGUCCAUGAAGAGUGACCAGUCUAAAGAUGUUAUGAGAAACUUUAAAGAUGGAAGUCCUGCUGAUGGGAGAAUGCAGGAACAGAGACCAGACUCUCCUGGACCCAGC
Non-coding RNA from Labrus bergylta (ballan wrasse), 171 nucleotides. The record is from RefSeq and is a predicted model, not a curated record. NCBI's taxonomy places the organism in Eukaryota, Metazoa, Chordata, Actinopteri, Labriformes, Labridae.